RNAcentral lists this ribosomal RNA (542 nucleotides) under uncultured fungus. Its description in RNAcentral is "eukaryotic LSU rRNA". The stretch from base 171 to 324 matches the Rfam family "5.8S ribosomal RNA". The record is from RNAcentral. Lineage: Eukaryota; Fungi.
UCCGUAGGUGAACCUGCGGAAGGAUCAUUACCUAGAGUUGUAGGCUUUGCCUGCUAUCUCUUACCCAUGUCUUUUAAGUACCUUACGUUUCCUCGGCGGGUCCGCCCGCCGAUUGGACAAUUUAAACCAUUUGCAGUUGCAAUCAGCGUCUGAAAAAACUUAAUAGUUACAACUUUCAACAACGGAUCUCUUGGUUCUGGCAUCGAUGAAGAACGCAGCGAAAUGCGAUAAGUAGUGUGAAUUGCAGAAUUCAGUGAAUCAUCGAAUCUUUGAACGCACAUUGCGCCCCUUGGUAUUCCAUGGGGCAUGCCUGUUCGAGCGUCAUUUGUACCUUCAAGCUCUGCUUGGUGUUGGGUGUUUGUCUCGCCUCUGCGUGUAGCCUCGCCUCAAAACAAUUGGCAGCCGGCGUAUUGAUUUCGGAGCGCAGUACAUCUCGCGCUUUGCACUCAUAACGACGACGUCCAAAAGUACAUUUUUACACUCUUGACCUCGGAUCAGGUAGGGAUACCCGCUGAACUUAAGCAUAUCAAUAAGCGGAGGAA